Molecule: long non-coding RNA, 434 nt
Organism: Triticum aestivum (bread wheat)
Lineage: Eukaryota; Viridiplantae; Streptophyta; Magnoliopsida; Poales; Poaceae
Exons: 3
Source: RefSeq, a predicted model, not a curated record
AAGUACAGCGUGGGGGAGGCAGUGUCCUCUGCAGCAAGGUCUACUUGCUGGCGACCUCACCAUCACCAACCCAUCUGCAGAUGAAGAUAGAAAAUAUUUGUUAUAUUCUUAUCCAAUUAGUUCACACCAUUGUUGUGAGCAACAGAAGAUUCAGAACUUUCAAGCUCCUUUUUUUCUUGCUAGCCAUGAAGGUGAUACUUUAGUAAAAGAUGGUCUGAAAACCAAGAUAUGCCAGAGAUAAUAACUAUAGUGGCUGCUCCAGAUGGACUAAGAAUGGGACCAUAUCCUAGGCCUACAUGCUAAUAUUGUACACCAAUGAAUGCUUCACUUAUUUAUACUUAUAAUCAGAUGUGUAAUGAUAAACGCGAUAUUAGCUUUUGUACCCAUCUUCAUGGUUGAAAUACUUUUCUGCAACCCGUGACACAUUUGCUUCA